Molecule: ribosomal RNA, 404 nt
Filed under: endophytic bacterium SM69
Lineage: Bacteria
Description: bacterial SSU rRNA
Rfam family: Bacterial small subunit ribosomal RNA
Source: RNAcentral
CUUACCUGGUCUUGACAUCCACAGAACUUUCCAGAGAUGGAUUGGUGCCUUCGGGAACUGUGAGACAGGUGCUGCAUGGCUGUCGUCAGCUCGUGUUGUGAAAUGUUGGGUUAAGUCCCGCAACGAGCGCAACCCUUAUCCUUUGUUGCCAGCGGUUCGGCCGGGAACUCAAAGGAGACUGCCAGUGAUAAACUGGAGGAAGGUGGGGAUGACGUCAAGUCAUCAUGGCCCUUACGACCAGGGCUACACACGUGCUACAAUGGCAUAUACAAAGAGAAGCGACCUCGCGAGAGCAAGCGGACCUCAUAAAGUAUGUCGUAGUCCGGAUUGGAGUCUGCAACUCGACUCCAUGAAGUCGGAAUCGCUAGUAAUCGUAGAUCAGAAUGUAUACGGGAAUACGACGU